Bubalus bubalis (water buffalo) is the source of this 470-nucleotide long non-coding RNA. RefSeq lists it as uncharacterized. The transcript is spliced from 2 exons. NCBI's taxonomy places the organism in Eukaryota, Metazoa, Chordata, Mammalia, Artiodactyla, Bovidae. The record is from RefSeq and is a predicted model, not a curated record.
CAAUGUCUCCAUCUCCCACUCUCUAUAAAGAAUUUUAUCUCGAGACACAGAUGGCUGAAUCUCUCUGAGGUUCAAUUCUUGGACUUUGAUGAUGCAGAAUCCCGAUGACUUGUGGUGAGAGGCAGAAAAGAGAGGAAGCCAAGACCACUGUUUCCACCUCUCCACAACUUCUUUGCUCAAGCCACCUGGCUUUUUGGACCUGAAUAGAUUUCUCCUCUCCGUUUGGAAAUCACGUUAUUGCUAUCUACACAUUGUCACCAAAACCAAUUUGUGCAAACUAACAGGCUUAUCAGCGCUGCGGAAAUGAGAUUAAAACUGCUUCCAAUGAAACAGAUAAAAACCAGAUGAAUGAAGCCCUCUAAUAAGACAUUAAAGAUAAUGACAAGAAUGAUUAACUAGUGUGAUAUAUUGAGCAGUUAUGAGGAGUUGGAUGCCCAGGAUCAGCAAACUAAUAAAAAAAAGAAUCUACC